UCCUUCCGGGGGGGGUGCAGUAGGGAAUCUUCCGCAAUGGGCGAAAGCCUGACGGAGCAAUGCCGCGUGAGUGAUGAAGGUUUUCGGAUCGUAAAGCUCUGUUGCCAGGGAAGAACGCUUGGGAGAGUAACUGCUCUCAAGGUGACGGUACCUGAGAAGAAAGCCCCGGCUAACUACGUGCCAGCAGCCGCGGUAAUACGUAGGGGGCAAGCGUUGUCCGGAAUUAUUGGGCGUAAAGCGCGCGCAGGCGGUCAUUUAAGUCUGGUGUUUAAUCCCGGGGCUCAACCCCGGAUCGCACUGGAAACUGGGUGACUUGAGUGCAGAAGAGGAGAGUGGAAUUCCACGUGUAGCGGUGAAAUGCGUAGAUAUGUGGAGGAACACCAGUGGCGAAGGCGACUCUCUGGGCUGUAACUGACGCUGAGGCGCGAAAGCGUGGGGAGCAAACAGGAUUAGAUACCCCCC
RNAcentral lists this ribosomal RNA (462 nucleotides) under Paenibacillus mobilis. Its description in RNAcentral is "bacterial SSU rRNA". It matches the Rfam family "Bacterial small subunit ribosomal RNA", at positions 335 to 790 of the family's 1533-position model. Lineage: Bacteria; Bacillati; Bacillota; Bacilli; Caryophanales; Paenibacillaceae. The record is from RNAcentral.